UACAGAGGGUGCAAGCGUUAAUCGGAAUUACUGGGCGUAAAGCGCACGUAGUCGGCUUUGCAAGUCGGGUGUGAAAUCCCCGGGCUCAACCUGGGAACUGCAUCCGAGACUGCAUUGCUAGAGUAUGGGAGAGGGAAGCGGAAUUUCUGGUGUAGCAGUGAAAUGCGUAGAUAUCAGAAGGAACAUCAGUGGCGAAGGCGGCUUCCUGGACCAAUACUGACGAUCAGGUGCGAAAGCGUGGGGAGCAAACAGG
This 253-nucleotide ribosomal RNA is filed under the name uncultured bacterium. Its description in RNAcentral is "partial 16S ribosomal RNA". It matches the Rfam family "Bacterial small subunit ribosomal RNA", at positions 524 to 776 of the family's 1533-position model. The record is from RNAcentral.